GAGGAAUAAKCAUCGGCUAACUCCGUGCCAGCAGCCGCGGUAAUACGGGGGAUGCAAGCGUUAUCCGGAAUCAUUGGGCGUAAAGCGCCUGUAGGUUGUUUAAUAAGUCUGUUGUUAAAGACUAGGGCUUAACCCUAGAAAAGCAAUGGAAACUACUAGACUAGAGUAUGGCAGGGGUAGAGGGAAUUUCUAGUGUAGCGGUGAAAUGCGUAGAUAUUAGAAAGAACACCGGUGGCGAAAGCGCUCUACUGGACCAUUACUGACACUCAGAGGCGAAAGCUAGGGUAGCAAAAGGGAUUAGAUACCCCUGUAGUCCUAGCCGUAAACGAUGGAUACUACAUGUUGUGUUUAUUUCACAGUAUGGUAGCUAACGCGUUAAGUAUCCCGCCUGGGGAGUACGCUCGCAAGGGUGAAACUCAAAGGAAUUGACGGGGGCCCGCACAAGCGGUGGAGCAUGUGGUUUAAUUCGAUGCAACGCGAAGAACCUUACCAGGGCUUGACAUACUGCGAAUCUUUCCGAAAGGAAAGAGUGCCUUCGGGAAUGCAGAUACAGGUGGUGCAUGGCUGUCGUCAGCUCGUGUCGUGAGAUGUUGGGUUAAGUCCCGCAACGAGCGCAACCCUUGUUUUUAGUUACCAAUUCGUUGGGUUUUCUAGAAAGACUGCCGGUGACAAACCGGAGGAAGGUGAGGAUGACGUCAAGUCAGCAUGCCCCUUAUGUCCUGGGCUACACACGUGCUACAAUGGUUAGGACAAAGAGUUGCGAGCUUGUGAAAGUCAGCUAAUCUCGUAAACCUAGCCCAGGUUCAGAUUGUAGGCUGCAACUCGCCUACGUGAAG
Molecule: ribosomal RNA, 836 nt
Filed under: Haptophyta environmental samples
Lineage: Eukaryota; Haptophyta
Description: bacterial SSU rRNA
Rfam family: Bacterial small subunit ribosomal RNA
Source: RNAcentral